CGCCGGCCCACGCGCCCAGCCUGGUCAGCGUCGCUAACCCUCAGCUCUCAGCCCCUCACGAUUCUCGGUCAGCCGCCGCCCGCCGCUGUGCCACAGUGCCAGACUGCCAGUGCCUUCCACUAGCGGCCAGCCUUCCUCCGUUAGCCGACGCCGCUGUCCCCGUCCAGCCGUCCACCGCUGUCCCCGUCCGCCGACGGCUCGAUGCCGAGCCGCUGUCCGCCUGUCCGGCUGGGGCCUGUCUCUAUCCCUCCGUGGCUCCGCCCCUGUGCCUCCGUCCGCCGAGGCUGAGGCGUCGAGCUGCUGUCCGCCUGCGGGCCGCGGGCCUGUGGCCUGUCCCUGUCCCUCCGUGCUCCGUCCGUCGAGGGCGAGCCGCUGUGCCUUCCGGCUUCGCCGUCCGAGGAGCCCGACGACUACGAGGUACCUGCACUUCUUAUUCUUCGUGACUUCUUUUCUUCUACAAGCUAAUGCUUGAGAAAACUCGUGCGGUGUUUCAUUACCACAAGCACGAGUAAGCUUGUAAGUUGUGUAGAGCCAUACCUAAUUUUUUUUCCGUCCUCCGCCACUGUGUAUACAUCAAGGUACACUUAUUGGAACAUGCAUUGACUAUCUGCAUAUGCAAGCAGGUUAUGUGAAUAAGAGAUAAAUAGAU
This 649-nucleotide long non-coding RNA is filed under the name Zea mays. RNAcentral describes it as "long non-coding RNA (ZMAY_LNC000827)". Lineage: Eukaryota; Viridiplantae; Streptophyta; Magnoliopsida; Poales; Poaceae. The record is from RNAcentral.